Molecule: ribosomal RNA, 497 nt
Filed under: uncultured bacterium
Lineage: Bacteria
Description: partial 16S ribosomal RNA
Rfam family: Bacterial small subunit ribosomal RNA
Source: RNAcentral
GAUGAACGCUGGCGGCGUGCCUAAUACAUGCAAGUCGAGCGAACAGACGAGGAGCUUGCUCCUUUGACGUUAGCGGCGGACGGGUGAGUAACACGUGGAUAACCUACCUAUAUGACUGGGAUAACCUCGGGAAACCGGCGCUAAUACCGGAUAAUAUACUGAACCGCAUGGUUCAAUAGUGAAAGACGGCUUUGGUGUCUCUUAUAGAUGGUUCCGCGCCGCAUUAGCUAGUUGGUAAGGUAACGGCUUACCAAGGCAACGAUGCGUAGCCGACCUGAGAGGGUGAUCGGCCACACUGGAACGGAGACACGGUCCAGACUCCUACGGGAGGCAGCAGUAGGGAAUCUUCCGCAGUGGGCGGAAGCCUGGCGGAGCAGCGCCGCGUGAGUGGUGAAGGUCUUCGGAUCGUAAAGCUCUGUUAUUAGGGAAGAACAAAUGUGUAAGUAACUAUGCACGUCUUGACGGUACCUAAUCAGAAAGCCACGGCUAACUACGUG